CGCAGACAUAUUGUUUCGAAGGCAGCGAACACAUCAUCCACCGCACAGUCGCCGGUGAAACUGUUUCCUGUUGUGUUUACCCCAAUUAAUUAGAUUUUAGGCAAUUGAGUAAAUAUGGUGGACAUCAGUGGUUCCGGAGGAGGUGGCCCUAUUGCUAUAAGCGUCGACAAUGCGAUAUUUAUUAUCCCAGCCAUUAUUAUCAUUGCUUUAGUGUCCUUCUUCACCUACAAGCUUGUCAUGCGUCUUCGUGACAAGGAGCGCAAGAAGGAGGAGAAGAAGAAGUUGAAGCAGCAGCGAAAGGAGAAGGAGAACCAGCCGAAGAAGAAGAAGUGAGAGGGAUGCGCCGUUGCUAGCUAACAGAUUAUUUUUGAUACCUAAGACAGUUGCUCGAGAGAGGUGGAUGGCAUGUGGAUGACAGUGUGUAUGCAUGAAGGGACUACGAGGGACAAGGACAUGUCGCCAUGGCAACCAGUUGGCAAAACAUCCCGAUGGCACAUGUGGGUUAGAGCAUAUGCCGUUGUUAUUGCAGACACAUACACGUGACGAUUAUCUAUUGAAUAUGUUUGCCGUGUUGACACCUCUUAGUUUAAUUUCUAGUUGUUUUUGAGAACAGGUAUUAAACGCAUACGAACAGUGCAUUUAAGAUUAUGUUAUGGUAAUAUCCAGGAUAUAUUCAGCCAGUACUUUAUGGACAAGCAUCAUUGCUACUCUGGUAACUGCAGAUUUCUUUAGUCUAUAUGAUAGGACUAUUUGGUCGACUAUUGUUCAGGUGAUCCAACCUGCUUUGAUGCCAAUGACGGUAUUGCUGUUGCAAAUGUGUCCCGUAGCACAGUGCAGGGGGUGCUUCCACAUGGCGUACAUUUCAAUCUCAUAGGAAUCUUGAUGUUGUGAGAGUGGCACACUGGAAGACAAAAUCGCUAGUGUGAAGAUAAUUAACUUAUUAUUGGUCCGCUGAGUAAUUGUGUAGACUGCGUAAACUGUCACCAGGUGGCAGCAUGGCCGUAACUACUGCGGCAAAAUCUGUCAUUGCUUGAUAUGUUUUGACAAACACUACCCUACUAAAGGAAACUGAAGGUGUAUGGUAGAGGUAACAGUGAACGACUGGGGAGUAAAAAAUUUCAUGUUUACAGUGUUAUCCGAACUUUGUCCUGUUUGCUCUCAGUUUUGUCAACAAAGCGUGUGGAUGCACAAGAAACGUUUUUAAGCUAGUUUUCGUGUGUAAUAUCUUUCUAGCAGUUCUGUUUGUAUGCAAAAGCUUUAUCGGCCAAUUUUUCAAGCUAUUUAUUACAAGAGCAACAUCGUUACUAUAUGUUUAUAGAAUUCUUGCAGGUUUCAUGUAGGCAGCAUACGCCGUCAAUCGUGGCAGUGCAGGGUUUCUUAUACAUAAGAGGCAUAGUGGCGCAACGCCAUUGUCAAAUUUAACAUCGCCGUUGUGAAAAUGUUCCGGUAUUUACCCGCCGUUGUCAAAAUAAUGUCAACUGUCAACCCAAAAAUACAUAGAUCACCACGUGCUUCUGGCAUAUUUAGAUUGCUAUGUGUGGUUAUUGCGUCAUGUGAAGGGGGGUCUAAACUUUUCCGUUAUUUCCUUUAAAUCCAUCAUGCCCAGGUUUUUUUUUCCAAACUGGCCAUUACCUCCUUCCUCUAAUUUUCCCUCAGAAGAAACCCUGCAGUGUAAAUUCCGGUGCUAAGAAUAGUUGCACGAAAUGACCGUGCAGCUAUACAACAUUACUUUGAUCAGAAGUGAAUAAAAAAACACUUGUUUAUAUUCACUUCUGCUUGGAUUAAUUGUGUAUGAAGCCUAGCAUUCCAAUAUAAUGUGUGCACAAGUAAAUACACUGGUAUAUUUUAUGCACUUUUGAGUGAUAACCCUGGAGGAUCAAUGCGUUGCUCACUCAUGGUGUUAGGGUUUCACUUUGGGAUAAGGUUAAGAGUUGGUGGUAAGAUUGUGGUUAUUGUUACGUAUUAUUACUCCAUAAUUCUAACCUUACCCUCAUCGUGAGUUGGUCUAUUGGCACUAUUUAACACUGCAUUUAGCUUCAAAAUGGAAGCAAUGGAUUAGGUCACAGUGUUACCAGGAAGAACAGAGGAAUAUGUAAUCAAGAAUGAAAAAUGGCACUGUGUCAUCGCGUGGACGUAAAUGGCUGAGGUGUUUCUGUGACUGGGCAAAAGGGAGGAAGGCACAUAGAAAGCUACGUGGGUCACCGGUGGGAGGGAGGGUUGGGCGUUGUGAUAAUCACCAGGGUUUAGUGCAAACCUGUAGCCAUUAAUCAAAAUGAGAUUACAAUACACCACCUGCAGGCUCUCAUCGGUUAUACAAACGGUGGGAGCCUAUCAAUGUGCCCACAGUCAGAUAAGUGCUUGUGGUAGAUUACCACUGGUCCUGGUUGUCCCGCCGUAUCUCUAGCCAAGAUAGUACUGCACGUGGGUCACUGUAAUCAUGUACAUUAUCGUUUACGUUAUACUACAAGUUUUUCAUGUGUUUGCACACAUUGGGAUCCUCACAGAAAAAGUUCCAGAGUUGGAAAUGGGGGCAAGUAGUUUUGCAAUUUGAGAAGGGUAAAGGAGCGAAAAGGGAAUAUUUGUUAAUGAGUUGAUCGAUUAUCCAUCACAUUUUUAACUGUAUUUAUUGUUAAGAAACAACUAAGAGAAAUUUGCAGGUUUUAUACUUCCAUCAUGUUGAAGUAUAGGUAAACUAAUGACGGGUUUGUUAAUACAGGAAUGCACAUCUGGCACAUUGCAUUUAAUUUAAGGAUUUUAGUUGUAUGUUGGCAAGGUGUUAUAUUUUGUAUAAGUUGUUGAUAACUAUAGGCUUUUAUUGAUUUACUACUUAAUAUUUUGUAAUAAAUUUCCUGGUGUCAAGUCUUCUACCAUUGUGUUUGGAAAUUGUUAACACUAAAAAGUCUUGGAAUGCUUAGCCUAGAUCAGCCAGUCCCUGUGUGGAUUUUGGUUUAGGUAAUGUACCAAUACUACGAAUUUUGUAUAUUUAGGUUCGUCAGAAUACGGAUAAUGUAGUAGUACUGUAGUAUUACAGUUAACGGACAUGUUGAAAAUUUCAAAUGGAUAUUUCGAUAUAUACUUCAGCUUUAGUCUUUGUGAAGGGAUGUAAAUUUUUUUCCUGGUGUAUUGGAAAUUAAAUUUUUUUAAUUAAAAGUUGAA
RNAcentral lists this long non-coding RNA (3156 nucleotides) under Priapulus caudatus. RNAcentral describes it as "uncharacterized LOC106809396". Lineage: Eukaryota; Metazoa; Priapulida; Priapulimorpha; Priapulimorphida; Priapulidae. The record is from RNAcentral.